Molecule: ribosomal RNA, 301 nt
Filed under: uncultured bacterium
Lineage: Bacteria
Description: partial 16S ribosomal RNA
Rfam family: Bacterial small subunit ribosomal RNA
Source: RNAcentral
CAGCCGCCGCGGUAAUACAGAGGGUGCGAGCGUUAAUCGGAUUUACUGGGCGUAAAGCGUGCGUAGGCGGCUUCUUAAGUCGGAUGUGAAAUCCCUGAGCUUAACUUAGGAAUUGCAUUCGAUACUGGGAAGCUAGAGUAUGGGAGAGGAUGGUAGAAUUCCAGGUGUAGCGGUGAAAUGCGUAGAGAUCUGGAGGAAUACCGAUGGCGAAGGCAGCCAUCUGGCCUAAUACUGACGCUGAGGUACGAAAGCAUGGGGAGCAAACAGGAUUAGAUACCCCUGUAGUCCCUGUCUCUUACAC